This 453-nucleotide ribosomal RNA is filed under the name uncultured Fibrobacter sp. Its description in RNAcentral is "partial 16S ribosomal RNA". It matches the Rfam family "Bacterial small subunit ribosomal RNA", at positions 341 to 792 of the family's 1533-position model. Lineage: Bacteria; Pseudomonadati; Fibrobacterota; Fibrobacteria; Fibrobacterales; Fibrobacteraceae. The record is from RNAcentral.
ACGGAAGGCCAGCAGUAGGGAAUAUUGCACAAUGGGGGGAACCCUGAUGCAGCAACGCCACGUGUGGGAAGAAGCAUUUCGGUGUGUAAACCACUGUCGUGAGGGAAUAAGACCCGCCUCCGGGCGGGGUUGAAUGUACCUCGAAAGGAAGCACCGGCAAACUUCGUGCCAGCAGCCGCGGUAAUACGAGGGGUGCAAGCGUUGUUCGGAAUCACUGGGCGUAAAGGGAGCGUAGGCGGAGGAGCAAGCGGUCUGUACAAUCCCGGGGCCUAACCCCGGACCUGCAGACCGGACUGCUUCUCUUGGAUAGUUCAGGGGCAGGCGGAAUUCCUGGUGUAGCGGUGGAAUGCGUAGAGAUCAGGAAGAACACCGAUGGCGAAGGCAGCCUGCUGGGGACUCAUCGACGCUGAGGCUCGAAAGUGCGGGUAGCAAACAGGAUUAGAUACCCUGGUA